GAGCCCGUGGCUCAAUGGUAGAGCGUUCGACUCAAAUACCAAAGGUCGCUAAAGGUCGCGGGUUCG
RNAcentral lists this transfer RNA (66 nucleotides) under Schistocephalus solidus. It matches the Rfam family "tRNA". Rfam says of the family: Transfer RNA (tRNA) molecules are approximately 80 nucleotides in length. Their secondary structure includes four short double-helical elements and three loops (D, anti-codon, and T loops). The record is from Rfam by way of RNAcentral. Lineage: Eukaryota; Metazoa; Platyhelminthes; Cestoda; Diphyllobothriidea; Diphyllobothriidae.